Long non-coding RNA from Folsomia candida, 5307 nucleotides. RefSeq lists it as uncharacterized. Lineage: Eukaryota; Metazoa; Arthropoda; Collembola; Entomobryomorpha; Isotomidae. The transcript is spliced from 7 exons. The record is from RefSeq and is a predicted model, not a curated record.
ACUUAUUAAGACCACUUUUCGAAUUUGAACUACCUUACAGAAGAAUUUUUUUCGAGUGAUUUGUGUUGUCAAUCUGAUAGCCCUUUUUCUUGUGCACAGCUCUGCAUCGAAAUUUCCAGUUUGAAAAAACUUUUGAAAUCAUGGCUAGGGUAAUUGUCUUCCACUCCGCUCGAGCAACUUUCAAGAGUCCAUCCAAAGUUGUCGCGCGCCGUGAGAAAAGCUUUUGUUUUAGAUAACCGAAGCCGAAAAAAUCUAAAGGACUAUUCCAAUAGUAUUGGACAACCCGCUGCGGUGGGAAUUUGAAAAAAAGGGUUGACAAUUUGCCAAAAAUUAUUUUGAUUUCUUAUAGUCCAAUUAAAGAGCUUUCCAACGGUGUAUCACACAUGUUAUUUCAAAAUGGUUAAAGGUAGAAGAAGUUGGAUUGAAAGCAAGGAGUUGGAAAAAAGAGUGACCGAGUUCUAUAAAAACAAGGCAAACAGUGGCUUGAAAAUGACCUGGCAUUUUUUUAAACCAGAAGGAAUCCCAAGGGCAAAUAUGUACUCUUAUAUAAAAAAGGUCAAGGAAUCCGAAUCUGUCGAAUUCAAAAAGCCAAGUGGUCGUCCUGUGAAGCUGGGAACCACCAAAGUGAAAAAUCGCAUCAGAAAAAUUUUCAAAACCCAACCCUCCACGCCAACGACUGUAGCCGCCAGAAAAAUUAAUAUUUCUCAAAGCUACUUAGUGAAAAUUAAAAUACACAAACUAGGCAUCAAAACCAGAACCAAAAAACCGGCACCAAAUUACAAGAAUACGCAAAAAUCCAGAAUUGUAGAAUGUCGUAAGAAGUUUUUGAAGAAAAUGUGUGGAAAAGUGGUCAUCAUGGACGACGAGACUUACGUUCCGGUGGACCCUUCAAAUGUUCCAGGGAGACAUUUGUACCACAGUAGUAACCCUUCUGAAGUUGUGUAUGAAGAAAAAAUAAGAAAAAAUGACAAAUUUCCGACGAAAUUUUACAUUUGGCAGUGCAUGUCGGGUGAUGGUCACGUUUCAGACCCUGUCACUUUGGACUGUAAUAUAAACUAGUACGUGUAUCUUAAAAAGUGUAUCAAACAAGGGUUGGAACCAUUCAUAUAAAAGGUUCAUAAAAAUGACACAAUCCAGUUUUGGCCUGACUUAGCAACUAGUGAUUAUGCAAAGAAAGUGACCGAAUACCUCAUGUCAUCAAAUAUUGAUUUCGUUCGAAAAGAUGAGAACCCUCCCAAUGUACCGCAACUUCGACCAAUCGGGAAAUUCUGGGCACUUUCAGAAUCUGAAUACUCAAGGCUAAAAGAAAAACCCGACACAUAAAGAAAAUUCAAAGGGCGAUGGAAGAAAAUAAGCCUUGAAGUUGGAAGAAAGUCGGGAAAAAAUUUGAUGCGAAAUCUUAGAAAGAAAAUCGAAUUGGUGGCUCAAGGGGGUGUGGCCGCCUUAUCGAUUAAUUAAAUUAUAAUGGUAUUUUUUCGUAACUGUCCAAUACUAUUGGAAUAGUCCUUGGUGACGGUGACGUAUCGGUGACGUAUCGGGGGACUUCACGUGCAUUUAUUUAUUCGAAAUUAUUAUAAUCCCAAAUUUUUCAUGAAUGGUCUUGGCGUAGUCAACGACUUUCUUGGCGGUGUGUGAAGAAGCUUUAUCGUGAUGAAUGAGGAUCUUGUUAACCUCGCCAUGAUAGAGUUCCGGAAGAAUAACUUCUACUAAUGGUUUUAAAACACUGACAAUGUAUACUUGUUCAUUAAUCUUUACUUCUGGGGGCACUUUGAUAAGAUAAACUGGUCCACAGCCAGUCAGAAGGCCGACCACCAUGAUCUUCUCUCCGUAGCUUCCGCGCCCGUGCAACGCUCAACUAUCUUGAAUUUUUUCACCCUUGUCGACGUACAAAUUUUUCUUUCUGCCUGGCUGUAAUCAAGAUAGACUCAAGCCUCAUCUAUUGUGGCAACAAACUCACUUCUAUUCUUCGCCAGGUGGUUUGUGUAAAGCUUUUUUGAUUGGUCCUCCGAUUUGCAAUGUGAGAUGGCUUCUAGACGUCUACCUUCGUUUUCCGUCGAACUUCUUUAUUCAAAUCUUGAUAAAUGACUUACCUGAUUGUCGGUGUGCUUAUUUCCGCAACCCUUGCAAUCGCUCUUUGUCUUUGGGGGUUUUCUUUCUCGAUUCCCUCUGGACGCGAGAAAUGAGCGUUUUCGUCCUUUUCACUUUGGGGUCAUUUGGGGGUGGUUCUGUACACCUCGGUUUAUUGCAUCACGCUGAAUUCCAUCACCAUGAAUCACAUUAUACAAUCAUAUCUUAAUUAUUUCGAAUCCGUGGUUUUUAACUUGUUAGCAAUGUCUCUUUGUGAGUACUUCUCCUUGGAAGGCGUUUUUACAACACGACCAACUCUGGUGGGUGCCAAUUUGGCAUUUUUGAGUAAAACUUUUUCAAAAAAUUAUGCUAAGUGGUAGAAUGUCUACCCAACGACAUAUGCAAAUUUCGCGGCAUUCGCCUUAUCGAAUCUUUUUCUAUGGCUAUUCUUAAAUGGUCUUAAUAAGUAUCCUCACGCUGUAAAAAGUUGCGACCCUGGUUCUCAUAAAAUUGUUGGAAGUCCAGAAGAAACCAAAAAUGGGGUUGCAAAUAAUAAUUUGCAAGGUUGCAUUUUGCGCAUUCCUGGUGGCCACAAUUUUAGUUGGUGACACUGUAACAAAGGGUGUUGCUCAAAUUGAUGAUACAAUGUUUUGGGGCGAGUCGAGAUCAGUCGGUAUUCUGGUGGAUAACUCGUCUUGCGUGGGGAAUGGGGAUCCCCCUAUUCUACCCCCCGUUUGUGGAUCCUAACGACAACUCUGUGUACUAUCAAUGCUUCUGGAUUAAUGAUCCUGCCUGCCAAUGCGAUUAUUGGUACAUCUAUCCUUUUCCAGAAAUCGCCCUGUUUUUACCUUUCUUGGAAAAAUGAGAUUAGAAUAAAAUAAACCAAACGGACUAUCUACUAUAUAAAAAUAGUUAUAUUUCUAAUCCAGCUUCUCUGGAGAACGCACCAUUUUCGGUACACUUUAAAAAUAACUCACCCUCCCCAAAGGUGAUGCCUUUACGUAUAAUACCUCAACUUUCCAAUUUACGUGUACCAGUCUUCACCUCGCGCUAGAAUCGAACUUACAUAUUUCGAGUUGUUCAAAAAAUUAAAUUCUAAUUUCGAAAAACUUCAAUUACAGUUAAAUUUUACUUAAUUACUCAUUUAACCGAACCCGGAUUAAUUUCAGUUUGAAAAAUUCUAAAACCGGUUUUAAUCAAGAAAUGAAAUUUCUCCUCCAUGUCGCGUUUCUAUUCGUAAUUAUUUCCUCAUUACGAAGCCAAACCUAUGCUCACACGAACAACGAAUCGUCAUUUAUCCGCAUCCAGGAUAAGGCCAGCAUUAAAUGCAACCAACAACUCAAACAAAUCUCCAAUUUGUGGCGAGAUCUGAACAAAUUGCGGAAUUCCGUGAAAAACAGCACCAUCGACCCAAACCUCACUUUGAAUAAGGACCCCGUCCCCAAAUUCCAGUCCAACACGUUGAAAUAUUUCGUCGAGUUGGGCCACGCUAUUGACCAAAUCGAACUCGCAGUUUCCAUCUACAAUCGCAAAGAGAUUAUCUGUGUUUCCAAAAAUUCCCAAGAAUUACUUCCGAAUUUGGCCACGACAUAUGAUCUCAUUCAAAAAAGACGGAUAAUUUUUCCCAAGAAUUUUCCACCGUGUUGGAAAGCAUUGGACGCGACCGGUCAAUUUUAAAAGACUGGAUUCACGCUGCCAAAUCUUUAUCGGGGCGACUUGAGAAAGUUGAGAAUAUUGGGGACAUAAAGUUAUGGACAGGGUUUCGAUUUUCCCGUCCAAAACUAUUUUUUCCCACGGCAGGUGGGAAAAAGUGGGACAAACCGGGAAAAAUGGUAUUUACCGUCCAGAACGGGAAAAAUGGCGGUCCAUGUGUUUAGUAAUGGGGAAAGCCAACUUCUUUAAUACUCAAUAUUUUCGGAAUUCGACUUCAUAUUCGUCAUCUCCAUCAAAUUCUGAAAAUUUUGGUAUAUAAUACGGCCACUUUUGAACAGUUUUGAACAGUUUUGAACUCUUUCCCCAUUUUUCCAUAUGAAUACAUGCUAAUUUUAAAGAUUGCUCGAUUUUAACCGAGUUACCCACUUAUUUGCUCAGAAUUUCAUGGAGAAUACGAAUAUGAACUCAGAUUUUGAAAAUAUUAAGUUUUCAAGAAGUUGUUUCGCAUCGCCCCAAAGCACAGUAUUUCCCAUUUCUUCCGUUUUUCCCAUUUCCCACCUAUUUUGGGUGGAUGGUAAAAAUGCCUUUUUCCCACUUUUUCCCACUGCCCUGGUCAAUUUGGUUUUUACCAAUCGAAACCCUGGUUAUGGAAAGGACAGAUCGCAGUCAGCCUGCGUGACAAGAAUUUCACAGCGAGUAAAGAAGAUUUGAUGGAGCCGAAAUUUUUCGAAAUUAUGCGUGUAUUUGAAACCUUGAAAAAUCAGACCAGUCUUGGACAUAAGGUCAGGGUUGCAGAAAUCUCAUCUCGCCUUCACAAAUCUCAUCUCACUGAGAUAUAAUGAGAAAUAGUGAGACAUGAGAAAUAUGAGAUAUAGUGAGAUUUGUGAGCCAUGCACUAGCGCCACCUAGCGGACGGGGUCAUGAACUACAAGUUUAGCUCAUUAAUUCUCAUAUUUCUCACUCAGCCCCAACUGAGAUGAUUGAUAUAAAUCAUUAAAUCUCACUAAAUCUCGCGAAGUGAUAUAUACCACUUGCAACCCUGCAUAAGAAUUCCAAAAAAUAUUUGCUCGACUUUCUUUCCCAAGAUAAUACAGAAAUCUUAGGAAAAACUAUACCUGCGAUGAUUGGGAGGACGAGGCAAAUUGAGAAAUAUUGCGAGCAUAUGGUGAAAGAGCUGAAUGAUGUCGAAGUAUUAAUUAGGGGCUGGAAGGUGCGAAUCUCACGUCUGGAUGCAGAGUUCCGGAGUAUGUUGGGAAUACUACAAUUGAAAAGUCUUAAGUUUGAAGAAGACCUUAAAAACUGCUUGAUCGCUGAUUACCAAGCAUUGAAUGGUGGGAAAUCCGGGGGUAAAUAUUUGAAGAGGUUGGAAUUCAUGAUGAGGGACGAGUUUUGAAUUUAUGGGCAUUUUUUAGUCCUUCACGAGUUCCGUGCCGUGUAAAAUUUAUUUUCCGUAACAAUUUAAUUAUUUAGAUAUUCUAUUAGACAAAUUUGAAAAAGAAGGUUUAAUUUGGACUGUUCAAAAGUGCUAAAAUAAGUCCGCUCCACAUUCCACUUUAUCCUAUUAAAUAAAAUGAGUUUCUUAUAUAC